GACGAACGCUGGCGGCGUGCCUAACACAUGCAAGUCGAACGGAGAUAGGUUUGAGGUUUACCGAAGACUUAUCUUAGUGGCGGACGGGCGAGUAACGCGUGAGCAACCUGCCCCAGACUGGGGGAUAACGUCGGGAAACCGGCGCUAAUACCGCAUAACACUAUGAAGCCGCAUGGUUUUAUAGUCAAAGCUCCGGCGGUUUGGGAUGGGCUCGCGUCCAAUUAGCUAGUUGGUGAGGUAACGGCUCACCAAGGCAACGAUUGGUAGCCGAACUGAGAGGUUGAUCGGCCGCAUUGGGACUGAGACACGGCCCAGACUCCUACGGGAGGCAGCAGUGGGGAAUAUUGCGCAAUGGAGGGAACUCUGACGCAGCAACGCCGCGUGAAGGAAGAAGGCCUUCGGGUUGUAAACGUUCUUUGAUCGGGACGAAGAUGAGGUACCCGAGGACAAGCCACGGCUAACUACGUG
This 468-nucleotide ribosomal RNA is filed under the name uncultured bacterium. RNAcentral's name for it is "bacterial SSU rRNA". It matches the Rfam family "Bacterial small subunit ribosomal RNA", at positions 28 to 507 of the family's 1533-position model. The record is from RNAcentral.